CCAUUCGUGAAAUUGUCCGACGUAGAGAGAAAACCACCGGACAUUCUGUCCGACCAAAGUGAAACUGAGGUUUAUUGUUUGUCCGACCUGAGUGUAUUGGUGUCCGACCAAACUGUAGCUUUGUCCGGCGUAAAUCAAAAUGUACCCUAUCCCAGGACUAGAGGCUUGUAACGUUAAAUGGAAAACCAGAGUACUAUUGUAUAAAAGGUGAACUGGAAAUUUGUUUUAACGUAGUCGAGCGCGGGGCGGGGAGUGAAAUGCAUGGUGAAGUGGAAAACGGGCUUAAUUCUAAGUCUUUUACUGCUGUUCUGGAAAGCAAAUUAAAUUUGGCUUGGAAAUAAAUAUGAAAAAAACAAAUUAUUUAAUAUCUUCACAA
Molecule: non-coding RNA, 376 nt
Organism: Paramuricea clavata
Lineage: Eukaryota; Metazoa; Cnidaria; Anthozoa; Malacalcyonacea; Plexauridae
Source: the annotation of a GenBank genome assembly